This is an RNA transcript of Megalops cyprinoides (Indo-Pacific tarpon), 5721 nucleotides long. RefSeq lists it as uncharacterized. The transcript is spliced from 22 exons. NCBI's taxonomy places the organism in Eukaryota, Metazoa, Chordata, Actinopteri, Elopiformes, Megalopidae. The record is from RefSeq and is a predicted model, not a curated record.
UUCGCUUUUGCAGAGGAGGACUUGAAGAGCUCGCGCUAGCACCUUAGCGUGCUGUUUGAUUCGGUUACAAUGACUGCGAGCUGUGGACCAGUCGUUUUAGUGCUUGUGGGAAAAUGGUAACGUAGUUCUGCCAAGUUCAGAGACGACAGCAGUCGAUAAAGCACCUCUUAACGACCCUGCAAACCAAUUCACAGAGUACAAUGUAUUGUGUUUUCUGCGGUGAACAGCUUGUGGAUGGUGGCCGCUUCUGUGCAUGUUGUGGCCGAAAUCGAGAAACGUCUUUGACAGAAGCCCAGAACGAAAACACACCGUCAUCCACUGUUGCUUCACAAGAGAAUUUAAUUGAGCAAUACUUUCAUGCAGGCCACGCGUACAAGGCUAUUGUGGAUUUACUGAAAGCUGAACAUGGCAUUUGUGUCAGUUUACGAACAGUAAAAUCUAGAUUAUCAAGCCUUGGUCUGUUCAGAAGAAAAUAUUCACAAUCUGAGGAUGUAAGAAGAGCUGUUGUACAAGAGUUGCAAGGACCAGGUCAACUUUUUGGAUAUCGCACAAUGUGGCAAGUACUUAAAAAUAAGUACAGACUAAAUGCUAAGAGAUCUGACGUAAUGAGACUACUGGCCAAGACGAACCCGUCAGGUACCGAAGCAAGAAGACGUAGGAGAUUAGCCCGCCGUACCUACCAUUCACUAGGCUCGAAUUAUACAUGGCAUGCGGAAGGCUAUGACAAGCGUAAACCUUUUGGUUUUGCUGUCAAGAUGGACUUGGCGGUACCAGACGAACCCCAAAAGAAAGUUUUCCGAGCAAGAAAAACCAUGAAAAUAAGUCAUCGGCAGCAACUGGAUUUCCUCCAUAAUUCCCAGUCCUCUUUCACACUCUGCUCUUCCUCUAGCUCUGCUUCCUCUUCCCCUGCCCCGCCCCCAUUAGUGAAAGGAAAACACCCAGAGGAGGGGCGAGCAAAGACUGAGAAAGUGCGAGAGGCUCACGCCAACCGCAGCGCAAAAGGGAAACAAUCUACCUCUCUUGUAACUCGUUCCUGCUCUCCCCAAACUUUGUCCCUCUCUUUGUCUCCCACCCCACCUCCCCAGACUCCAAGGCUGAGGUCGCGCAGUCUUCCCCCCUCAUCCCGAUCACUUCCUGCAAAGAGUGCGGGGAAAGAAAGUGAGGAGCAGGAAAGAAAGGGGGGAGAGGGAAACGUGUCCUCAUUGAUGAAGGGAGGCAAGACAAAGGAUGAAGUGAAGACAAAGGGAAGAGAGGCAAAGGGGAAUGAAGGAACUGCUGAAGAUAGAGAGCAUGACCUCCCUGAACCACAUGGCAAUCUCUCAUCAUCCCAGGAUUCUCCUCAGGACCGCACUGCCUCUCUGGUGUCGUCUCAGACAGCGGAGGGGAAGGACGAGGAGAAAAAGAUUGAGGCUGACAAAAACUCGAAAUCCGAGGAGACUGUGGCUAUGGAUACAGGCCCUGCUACCAUGGAGACCGAGGCACUUGAAGACAGCAAGCCCACCUCGGAGGACACCUCCAUCCCUGUUGUUAACACUACUAUGUCCUGCUGUUGUAGCUCCCCAUCCAAGCCAUCUAAGCCUGACCAAGAAGUGAAAGAGGGAUUUCUGGUCCUUAGUGAAGAAGAUGACAACCAAGAAGGGACGGAGAAGGCCAAAGACAAGGAACAGGUGGAAGAAAAUCAGGACGGAAAGAAGAUGGAGGUGGAAACGGAGAAAGGAGACAAGACAGAUGUCUCUCCCCUCUCUAACACCACCUCUCCUACAUCUCCAACUUCAGCAAGAGAGAGGAAGAGGCAGAAGGUAGAGGGGGAAGAGUUGGAGGCGCAGCUGGAGUUGAAAAUCAGAGCAAAUGCAAGCACUCGACUCAAACUGGAAAAGGUGGUUCAGCAGUUGGUUGAGGAGCAGCUCCGGGUCUUGCAGCUGAGUGUUUUUGACAGGACCUUGCAGGAGCUGAAAGAGAGGGUGGAGAAGAUGGACUGUGCCACAAAACACCAGCAAACUCUGAACACAUUACAGGCCAAGAUAGCUCGACUGGCCAAGAAAUUUGGUGCUGCCAACCAGGCCAAGGAGAAUAUCAGGAAACCACAGGAGAUGGAGAGUGACACAGCGCCUGAGAGAAAUGCCCAAGACUCCUAUCAUUCAUGCCAUUCCAUGCCUCUGGUGGAUGACCACAAUGCUGUUGGUUCAGCGAUACCCAAUGAGCAGAUGGAAAGUGACACAGCACCUGAGAGAAAUGCCCAAGACUCCUAUCACUCAGGCCAUUCCAUGCCUCUGGUGGAUGACCACAAUUCUGUUGCUCUGGACAUACCCAAUAAUCAGAUGGAAAGUGACACAGCACCUGAGAGAAAUGCCCAAGACUCCUAUCACUCAUGCCAUUACAUGGCUCUGGUGGAUGACCACAAUGCUGUUGGUUCAGAGAUACCCAAUGAGCAGAUGGAAAGUGACACAGCACCUGAAAGAAAUGCCCAAGACUCCUAUCACUCAGGCCAUUCCAUGGUUCUGGUGGAUGACCACAAUGCUGUUGGGUCAGCAAUACCCAAUGAGCAGAUAGAAAGUGACACAGCACCUGAGAGAAAUGCCCAAGAUUCCUAUCACUCUUGCCAUUCCAUGCCUCUGGUGGAUGACCACAAUUCUGUUGGUUCAGAGAUACCCAAUAAUCAGAGUUUGGAAUGGACUAACAUUCCUGCUUUGGGAUGUGUGCCUGAUUCCAUUGAAGACAGUGAUGGAGAAUAUGUCUGCGUACCUACACUGAGUAGGACUAAAAGCACCAUAAUGGAAAGUGACACAGCACCUGAAAGAAAUGCCCAAGACUCCUAUCACUCAGGCCAUUCCAUGGUUCUGGUGGAUGACCACAAUGCUGUUGGUUCAGCGAUACCCAAUGAGCAGAUGGAAAGUGACACAGCACCUGAGAGAAAUGCCCAAGACUCCUAUCACUCAUGCCUUAUCAUGCCUCUGGUGGAUGACCACAAUGCUGUUGGUUCAGAGAUACCCAAUGAGCAGAGUUUGGACUUGACUAACAUUCCUGAAUUGGGAUGUCUCCCUGAUUUCUCUGAAGACAGUGAUGGAGAAUAUGUUUGUGCACUUAAACUGAGAAGGACUAAAAGCAUCAUAAUGAAAGAGUCCAUUCCUGAAGAUUCAGAUGAACUAUUUCAUUCACACAGUGGAGAUGAUUAUAUCCCAGACUCCAGAGAGGACAGUGGGGACAGUAGUUCAGACAGCAGUACUUCCCUUAAAAUAUCAGAACAGAAACAUCAGUCACUCAUUGACAGACCUAUUCAACCCACUGGCCCUGUCCCUGACAGCACCACUGCAGUGGGAAUGGACCAAGACAGAAGCAGCGUUAGAACUGAAGUAAUGGGAGUACGGGAAAAACCCAGCACAAGCUCUGAGAAGAUUGAGGAUGAAGGAGUCAGCAGCAGUCAGGAUGGUUUUGAAUCAGAGGAAGGGACAGUAGUAGUCACUGCUGUCCAAAAAAAGUAUGAUGGGAGCAGAUUGUAUAACAAGAGACAUUACUGUCUGUACUGUUUUAAACCUUGUAGCAAGAUAGCAAGGCAUUUGGAACAUGUACAUUCCAGUGAAAGGGAAGUGGCCAAAGCAUGUAGCCUUCCAAAGGGUUCCAAGCAGAGAAGAAUUCAUUUUGAUUAUUUACGUAACAGAGGAAACUAUGUACAUAAUGCUGCUGUUUUGAAGUCAGGCAAGGGGGAACUGAUUCCUUGCAAACGACCACCUGAGGCAGCAAAGGGGAAUGACUUCUUGCAUUGUGCAUAUUGCCGGGGAUUAUUCACCAGAAAUGUCCUAUGGCGACAUGUGAAAACGUGUAAAUUAAGUCCUAAAAAUGUCACCAAAAAACCUGGAAAAAGUCGUGUCCAGUCCCUCUGUGCAUUCACACAGCCUGUACCCUCUUGUAUAAGUAAAACAUUAUGGAAGGUAUUAAGUAGCAUGAACCUUGAUGAAAUUGCAACUGCUGUCAGAAAUGACAGUUGCAUCAUUCAGAUUGGGGAACACUUGCUAAACAAAAGUGGGUCAUCUGCUAAGAGUCAGCAGUGCAUUAGACAGAAGUUGCGAGAACUAGGAAGACUGCUGAUUGGUGCCAAGAAGAUUACUUCCUUGAGGAGAAUGGAAGAUUUCAUAGAUCCAGAACGCUUCACGGAGACUGUCAAAGCAGUUAAAUUUACAUGUGGAUAUGACAGCGAAACACAUAAAUACAAAGUUUCAUCUCUGGCAACUAAACUUGGGAACAUCUUGGUAAAACUCAGCAAACUUUUAAAAGCUCAGGCUUUGAUUACCAAGAAUGAAGGACUGGUGCAGAAAGCCACUGACUUCCAAGAAGUCUAUAAAGCACGCUGGAACGAGUUGAUCUCCGCAACCGCGUCACAUAACACUGCAGAAACAAAGUGGAAUGCACCCACAGUGCUGCGCUUCACAGAAGAUGUGCAGAAACUACAUGCAUUUCUCAAUAAAAUGCAGGAUGAGUGUAUCAGCCAGUUGUCUGCAGAGGCCACUUCUAAAGCCUGGUCUGAUCUGGCAAAGGUGGCUAUGGCUCAAAUCAUUUUAUUCAACCGUCGUAGGGAGGGGGAGGUAUCCAGUAUGGCCUUAUCAUCUUUCUUAUCAAGGGACAACUCCAGUCUUCAUGAUGAUAUAGAAUGGGCACUCUCUGAAGUGGAAAAAAAACUUUGCAGACACUUCUCCAGAAUUGUCAUCAAGGGAAAAAGAGCACGCCCAGUGCCAAUUUUGCUGACUCCGAAAAUGCUGUGUGCAUUAGAGUCCCUAGUUGAGAAGAGGGAGACUUGUGGAGUGGUAAAAGACAACUGUUACAUGUUUGCCAGGCCAUCAGCAAUGUCGCAUUUCAGAGGUUCAGACUGCAUGCGCAUCUUUGCAAAGGCUUGUGGUGCUAAGAGUCCUGAUGCACUGACAUCCACAAAACUGCGGAAGCAUGCUGCAACCCUUUCAACUGUACUCAACAUGAGGGAUACUGAGAUCGACCAAUUAGCAAACCUCUUAGGGCAUGACAUAAGAAUCCGCCGUGAAUAUGAUUGCCUCUCCGAGAAGACCCUACAGCUUGCCAAAGUCAACAAAAUUUUAAUGGCAUUGGAACAAGGAAGGCUAGCAGAGUUCAAGGGCAAGAACUUGGAUCAGAUCAAUAUGGAUCCCAACGAGGAGGUUGGCGUAUGCAGUGAUGAGGAAGACGAGAGUGGAGAUGAGGGAAGUUGUGCAUUGGGACUUGAUGAUACAUCAGCGACAGAGGGGCUGCCACCACCAGACAGAGAGAUGAUGUUGCCAACAGACUGCAAAACUAUACCACCAACAGAUAGGGAGGUAUCCCCAGUGAUAAGACUCUUGAGGUCUCACUUCAAAGGUCAAAAAGCUACCCAGAAGAAGAGAAAAGCUUGGGAUGUUACAGAGGUGCAGGCGGUGGAGAGGCACAUGAAGAAUUUUAUUACUACUUGUCGUAUCCCAGGAAAGACGGAAUGUGAAAGGUGUUUAAGGACUGAGCCACUAGCUCUGAAGUACAGGAAUUGGCAGAGUGUUAAAUUCUAUGUUUACAACCGCAUUGUUGCUUACAAGAGAAGUUUACAAGCUUAAGGAUUGACAGGCAGUGCUUAAGACCAAAACUACAAUCAAAACAAACUGACUAAAUUAUCAAGAAAACCCUAGGCCAGCUGAAGCAGCUCCCAGUGCCUACUACAAUCCUAAGACCCCUCAUAAUGUCUACAUGCCCAUG